CUGAAGUAGCCCUCCUAGGCUAGCUUGAGCAUGGUGUAAAUCGUAAUUAUGUUUGUGUAUUACAGAUGUGCAAACAAGAGGACAGAAGUGCUGAAGGCAGGGCAGGAUGUAAUUUUCUGUUGUAACUUCGGAGAUGUCAAAAGGCAGAUGCAUUUUCAGACAGCAGAGUUGACUAUUUUUAUUUUCAACAGAUAAAUGAUUCAUCCCAUGUAUUGCACCUUUGGAAAGCUCUCUUACUCGUGUGUGCCAAGAUAAAUUAUGAAGGCUAAUGAAUACAGAAGUACUUCUGAGUAGAGAAAACUUCCACUAUAUGUGUUCAGGAAAUGUGUGUUUGGUAUAGCAUGUACCCUAAGAAUGAAGAACGUAAAUCUUGCAGAAAACAGUAUGGCUUUGAUGGCCCCAAUAGACAUUCUAAGAUAUGAAUUUUCAAGGUCACAAUGUAUAUUGCUAGUAUGUUACCAUGUGGAGGGCCCUUAAUAAAAUCCAG
Molecule: long non-coding RNA, 487 nt
Filed under: Junco hyemalis (dark-eyed junco)
Lineage: Eukaryota; Metazoa; Chordata; Aves; Passeriformes; Passerellidae
Description: lncRNA (ENSJHYG00000008845.1)
Source: RNAcentral